UACAGAGGCCUCAAGCGUUAGGCGGAAUCACUGGGCUUAAAGCGUGUGUAGGCGGACUUCUAAGUGCUUUGUGAAAUCCCAUGGCUCAACCAUGGAACUGCUUGGCAUACUGGGAGUCUUGAGCCAUCUAGGGGCAACUGGAACAAACGGUGGAGCGGUGAAAUGCGUAGAUAUCGUUUGGAACGCCAAUGGUGAAGACAGGUUGCUGGGGAUGUGCUGACGCUGAGACACGAAAGCCAGGGGAGCAAACGGG
This 253-nucleotide ribosomal RNA is filed under the name uncultured bacterium. RNAcentral's name for it is "partial 16S ribosomal RNA". It matches the Rfam family "Bacterial small subunit ribosomal RNA", at positions 524 to 776 of the family's 1533-position model. The record is from RNAcentral.